UGCGGGAUGGAGCAGUCUGGUAGCUCGUUAGGCUCAUAACCUAAAGGUCGUUGGUUCAAAUCUAGCUCCCGCAUCCA
This 77-nucleotide transfer RNA is filed under the name Acinetobacter venetianus. Its description in RNAcentral is "tRNA-Met". It matches the Rfam family "tRNA". From Rfam's summary of the family: Transfer RNA (tRNA) molecules are approximately 80 nucleotides in length. The record is from RNAcentral. Lineage: Bacteria; Pseudomonadati; Pseudomonadota; Gammaproteobacteria; Moraxellales; Moraxellaceae.